RNAcentral lists this ribosomal RNA (322 nucleotides) under uncultured eukaryote. RNAcentral describes it as "partial 18S ribosomal RNA". It matches the Rfam family "Eukaryotic small subunit ribosomal RNA", at positions 1470 to 1796 of the family's 1831-position model. The record is from RNAcentral.
CCCUUAGAUGUUCUGGGCCGCACGCGUGCUACACUGAGUGGAUCAGCGGGUCAGGUUGCGCGAAAGCGUUUCCUAAUCUUUAAAUCCGCUCGUGAUGGGGAUUGACGGUUGCAAUUUUCUGUCAUGAACGAGGAAUACCUUGUAAGCGCAUGUCAUCAUCAUGCGCCGAAUACGUCCCUGCCCUUUGUACACACCGCCCGUCGCUCCUACCGAUUGAGUGAUCCGGUGAGGCUCUGGGACCUGGACGGAAAGAGCGUUUCGCUUGUUCUGUUUGGGAAACUUGGUCGAACCUUAUCAUUUAGAGGAAGGAGAAGUCGUAACA